This 240-nucleotide non-coding RNA is filed under the name Limosilactobacillus panis. Its description in RNAcentral is "Lactobacillus panis T-box sequence". It matches the Rfam family "T-box leader". Rfam says of the family: Uncharged tRNA acts as the effector for transcription antitermination of genes in the T-box leader family. T-boxes are found upstream of many aminoacyl-tRNA synthetase genes and some amino acid biosynthetic genes usually in Gram-positive bacteria. The record is from RNAcentral. Lineage: Bacteria; Bacillati; Bacillota; Bacilli; Lactobacillales; Lactobacillaceae.
CAAACGACGUUGAUCGAGAACAGCGAGUAUCAUCGAUUGCAGAGAGCUGAUGGUUGGUGCAAAUCAGUAGAAAGUGGUACUUAGCUAAUCACUCGUGAGUUGUAUGUCGAACGAUUUUUCAAGUAGAACGUACUGGUAGCACCCAUUAUCGUGCCGACUGAUAUUCUUUUAAUGGAUGUUGGUUGAGGCGGCUCUUUAGCCGUAAAGAAAGGUGGUACCACGUUUAGAAGCGUCCUUUUU